UCUGCAACGCACUUGUGAUGCUUCUGGCUUUGCAGACGUCUAAAAACUAUGCUAAUCGCUUACCAUCAGGUGAGCCGUACGCUUUUUUGCCGAACUAGUGACA
Melitaea cinxia (Glanville fritillary) is the source of this 103-nucleotide long non-coding RNA. RefSeq lists it as uncharacterized. Lineage: Eukaryota; Metazoa; Arthropoda; Insecta; Lepidoptera; Nymphalidae. The transcript is spliced from 2 exons. The record is from RefSeq and is a predicted model, not a curated record.